This 1485-nucleotide ribosomal RNA is filed under the name Oxalobacter formigenes. RNAcentral's name for it is "16S ribosomal RNA". It matches the Rfam family "Bacterial small subunit ribosomal RNA". Lineage: Bacteria; Pseudomonadati; Pseudomonadota; Betaproteobacteria; Burkholderiales; Oxalobacteraceae. The record is from RNAcentral.
GUKUGAUCCUGGCUCAGAUUGAACGCUGGCGGGAUGGUUUACACAUGCAAGUCGAACGGCAGCAUGGGGGCAACCCUGAUGGCGAGUGGCGAACGGGUGAGUAAUAUAUCGGAACGUACCCAAGAGUGGGGGACAACCAGUCGAAAGAUUGGCUAAUACCGNAUACGAUCUAAGGAUGAAAGUGGGGGACCUUCGGGCCUCACGCUCCUGGAGCGGCCGAUAGCUGAUUAGCUAGUUGGUGGGGUAAAGGCCUACCAAGGCGAUGAUCAGUAGCUGGUCUGAGAGGACGAUCAGCCACACUGGGACUGAGACACGGCCCAGACUCCUACGGGAGGCAGCAGUGGGGAAUUUUGGACAAUGGGGGAAACCCUGAUCCAGCAAUGCCGCGUGAGUGAAGAAGGCCUUCGGGUUGUAAAGCUCUUUUGUCAGGGAAGAAAUUGAUUGGGCUAAUAUCCCGAUUAGAUGACGGUACCUGAAGAAUAAGCACCGGCUAAAUACGUGCCAGCAGCCGCGGUAAUACGUAGGGUGCGAGCGUUAAUUGGAAUUACUGGGCGUAAAGCGUGCGCAGGCGNUUGUGUAAGAUAGAUGUGAAAUGCCCGGGCUCAACCUGGGAAUUGCAUUUGUGACUGCACGGCUAGAGUGUGUCAGAGGGGGGUAGAAUACCACGUGUAGCAGUGAAAUGCGUAGAUAUGUGGAGGUAUACCGAUGGCGAAGGCAGCCCCCUGGGAUAACACUGACGCUCAUGCACGAUAGCUGGGGGAGCAAACCGGAUUAGAUACCCUGGUAGUCCACGCCCUAAACGAUGUCGACUAGGUGUUGGGUCUUAAUUGACUUAGUAACGCAGCUAACGCGUGAAGUCGACCGCCUGGGGAGUACGGUCGCAAGAUUAAAACUCAAAGGAAUUGACGGGGACCGCACAAGCGGUGGAUGAUGUGGAUUAAUUCGAUGCAACGCGAAAAACCUUACCUACCCUUGACAUGUCAGGAAUCCCGAAAAGAUUUGGGAGUGCUCGAAAGAGAGCCUGAACACAGGUGCUGCAUGGCUGUCGUCAGCUCGUGUCGUGAGAUGUUGGGUUAAGUCCCGCAACGAGCGCAACCCUUGUCAUUAGUUGCUACGAAAGGGCACUCUAAUGAAACUGCCGGUGACAAACCGGAGGAAGGUGGGGAUGACGUCAAGUCCUCAUGGCCCUUAUGGGUAGGGCUUCACACGUCAUACAAUGGUGCAUACAGAGGGUUGCCAACCCGAGAGGGGGAGCUAAUCUCAGAAAGUGCAUCGUAGUCCGGAUUGAAGUCUGCAACUCGACUUCAUGAAGUUGGAAUCGCUAGUAAUCGCGGAUCAGCAUGUCGCGGUGAAUACGUUCCCGGGUCUUGUACACACCGCCCGUCACACCAUGGGAGCGGGUUUUACCAGAAGUAGGUAGCUUAACCGUAAGGAGGGCGCUUACCACGGUAGGAUUCGUGACUGGGGUGAAGUCGUAACAAGGUA